GUUUGUCUAAUGACGCUGCGCUUAUCGGGUCGGUGCCGGAUUGGUAAUUCAUUGAUAUUUUUGCAUUCCUCUUCGAGGGCAAUAAGGCGAAUGUCAUAACUACAAUACGUUUUAACCAUUCAGGCGGAAGUUAGCUUCCGCCUGUUUU
Salmonella enterica subsp. enterica serovar Typhimurium is the source of this 148-nucleotide small RNA. It matches the Rfam family "isrP Hfq binding RNA". The record is from Rfam. NCBI's taxonomy places the organism in Bacteria, Pseudomonadati, Pseudomonadota, Gammaproteobacteria, Enterobacterales, Enterobacteriaceae.